UGGGGAAUAUUGCACAAUGGGCGAAAGCCUGAUGCAGCAACGCCGCGUGAGUGAUGAAGGCCCUCGGGUUGUAAAGCUCUGUCUUUUGGGACGAUAAUGACGGUACCAAAGGAGGAAGCCACGGCUAACUACGUGCCAGCAGCCGCGGUAAUACGUAGGUGGCAAGCGUUGUCCGGAUUUACUGGGCGUAAAGGAUGCGUAGGCGGAUUUUUAAGUGAGAUGUGAAAACCCUAAGCUUAACUUGGGGACUGCAUUUCAUACUGGAAAUCUAGAGUGCGGGAGAGGAGAAUGGAAUUCCUAGUGUAGCGGUGAAAUGCGUAGAGAUUAGGAAGAACACCAGUGGCGAAGGCGAUUCUCUGGACCGUAACUGACGCUGAGGCAUGAAAGCGUGGGUAGCAAACAGGAUUAGAUACCCUGGUAGUCCACGCCGUAAACGAUGAGUACUAGGUGUAGGAGGUAUCGACCCCUUCUGUGCCGCAGUUAACACAAUAAGUACUCCGCCUGGGAAGUACGAUCGCAAGAUUAAAACUCAAAGGAAUUGACGGGGUCAUAGCUG
This 556-nucleotide ribosomal RNA is filed under the name uncultured bacterium. RNAcentral's name for it is "partial 16S ribosomal RNA". It matches the Rfam family "Bacterial small subunit ribosomal RNA", at positions 355 to 932 of the family's 1533-position model. The record is from RNAcentral.